Molecule: ribosomal RNA, 1253 nt
Filed under: Paenibacillus larvae
Lineage: Bacteria; Bacillati; Bacillota; Bacilli; Caryophanales; Paenibacillaceae
Description: bacterial SSU rRNA
Rfam family: Bacterial small subunit ribosomal RNA
Source: RNAcentral
GUGCAGUUGCGGCGUGCUAUACAUGCAAGUCGAGCGGACCUUGUGUUUCUUUCGGGAGACGCCAGGUUAGCGGCGGACGGGUGAGUAACACGUAGGCAACCUGCCUGUAAGACCGGGAUAACUUGCGGAAACGUGAGCUAAUACCGGAUAGCUGGUUUCUUCGCAUGAAGAAGUCAUGAAAGACGGGGCAACCUGUCACUUACAGAUGGGCCUGCGGCGCAUUAGCUAGUUGGUAGGGUAACGGCUUACCAAGGCGACGAUGCGUAGCCGACCUGAGAGGGUGAACGGCCACACUGGGACUGAGACACGGCCCAGACUCCUACGGGAGGCAGCAGUAGGGAAUCUUCCGCAAUGGACGAAAGUCUGACGGAGCAACGCCGCGUGAGUGAUGAAGGUUUUCGGAUCGUAAAGCUCUGUUGCCAAGGAAGAACGGCCAGGGGAGUAACUGCCCCUGGAGUGACGGUACUUGAGAAGAAAGCCCCGGCUAACUACGUGCCAGCAGCCGCGGUAAUACGUAGGGGGCAAGCGUUGUCCGGAAUUAUUGGGCGUAAAGCGCGCGCAGGCGGUCUUUUAAGUCUGGUGUUUAAGCCCGGGGCUCAACCCCGGUUCGCACUGGAAACUGGGAGACUUGAGUGUAGGAGAGGAAGUGGAAUUCCACGUGUAGCGGUGAAUGCGUAGAGAUGUGGAGGAACACCAGUGGCGAAGGCGACUUUCUGGCCUAUAACUGACGCUGAGGCGCGAAAGCGUGGGGAGCAAACAGGAUUAGAUACCCUGGUAGUCCACGCCGUAAACGAUGAAUGCUAGUGUUAGGGGUUUCGAUACCCUUGGUGCCGAAGUUAACACAGUAAGCAUUCCGCCUGGGGAGUACGGUCGCAAGACUGAAACUCAAGGAAUUGACGGGGACCCGCACAGCAGUGAGUAUGUGGUUUAAUUCGAAGCACGCGAGACUUACCAGCCUUGACAUCCCUCUGACGUUUAGAGACAGACUUUUCUUCGGGACGAGAGACAGUGUGCAUGUGUCGUCAGCUCUGUCUGAGAUGUGGGUAAGUCCGCACGAGCGCCACCCUGAUCUAGUUGCAGCACGCAAGUUGGCACUCUAGAUGACUGUCGGUGACAACGAGAAAAUUGAUGACCUCAAUCAUCAUGGCCUUAUGCCCUGGCUUAUCACGUACCUUACAUGGUGCGGUGCACGAGCAAGAAGCAUCCGGACAUUCUCACCGAAUCUAUCUCGAUGAGAUAGGUGUACAAUCAUG